UACGGGAGGCAGCAGUGGGGAAUAUUGCACAAUGGGCGCAAGCCUGAUGCAGCCAUGCCGCGUGUAUGAAGAAGGCCUUCGGGUUGUAAAGUACUUUCAGUCGUGAGGAAGGUGUUAAGGUUAAUAACCUUAGCAAUUGACGUUAGCGACAGAAGAAGCACCGGCUAACUCCGUGCCAGCAGCCGCGGUAAUACGGAGGGUGCGAGCGUUAAUCGGAAUUACUGGGCGUAAAGGGCACGCAGGCGGUUAAUUAAGUUGGAUGUGAAAUCCCCGGGCUUAACCUGGGAAUGGCAUUCAAGACUGGUUAGCUAGAGUCUUGUAGAGGGGGUAGAAUUCCAUGUGUAGCAGUGAAAUGCGUAGAGAUGUGGAGGAAUACCGGGUGGCGAAGGCGGCCCCUGGGACAAGACUGACGCUCAUGUGCGAAAGCGUGGGGAGCAAACAGGGAUUAGAUACC
RNAcentral lists this ribosomal RNA (454 nucleotides) under uncultured bacterium. Its description in RNAcentral is "bacterial SSU rRNA". It matches the Rfam family "Bacterial small subunit ribosomal RNA", at positions 340 to 786 of the family's 1533-position model. The record is from RNAcentral.